AACCACACUCACUAUCCGCCCGGGUACUACGAGCUCAAGCUUAAAACCCAAAGGACUUGGCGGUGCUUAAGAUCCACCUAGAGGAGCCUGUUCUAGAACCGAUAACCCCCGUUUAACCUCACCCUCCCUUGUUCUUACCGCCUAUAUACCGCCGUCGUCAGCUUACCCUGUGAAGGAUUAAUAGUAAGCAAAAUUGGCAUAGCCCAAAACGCCAGGUCGAGGUGUAGCGUAUGAGAGGGGAAGAAAUGGGCUACAUUUCCUACCUCAGGAAAUACGAACAAUAAGUUGAAACACUUGUUAGAAGGAGGAUUUAGCAGUAAAUGAGAAUCAGAGCGUCUCAUUGAAGCAGGCUCUAAAGCACGCACACACCGCCCGUCACUCUCCCCGAGAUAAAAUCACCCCAUACUUAAUCAACUAAGUAAACAUAAGGGGAGGCAAGUCGUAACAUGGUAAGUGUACCGGAAGGUGCACUUGGA
RNAcentral lists this ribosomal RNA (476 nucleotides) under Neochelon falcipinnis (sicklefin mullet). RNAcentral describes it as "partial 12S ribosomal RNA". It matches the Rfam family "Bacterial small subunit ribosomal RNA", at positions 853 to 1522 of the family's 1533-position model. Lineage: Eukaryota; Metazoa; Chordata; Actinopteri; Mugiliformes; Mugilidae. The record is from RNAcentral.